This 370-nucleotide ribosomal RNA is filed under the name uncultured bacterium. RNAcentral describes it as "partial 16S ribosomal RNA". It matches the Rfam family "Bacterial small subunit ribosomal RNA", at positions 523 to 893 of the family's 1533-position model. The record is from RNAcentral.
AUACGUAGGGUGCAAGCGUUAAUCGGAAUUACUGGGCGUAAAGCGUGCGCAGGCGGUUUUGUAAGACAGAGGUGAAAUCCCCGGGCUCAACCUGGGAACUGCCUUUGUGACUGCAAGGCUAGAGUACGGCCGAGGGGGAUGGAAUUCCGCGUGUAGCAGUGAAAUGCGUAGAUAUGCGGAGGAACACCGAGGGCGAAGGCAAUCCCCUGGGCCUGUACUGACGCUCAUGCACGAAAGCGUGGGGAGCAAACAGGAUUAGAUACCCUGGUAGUCCACGCCCUAAACGAUGUCAACUGGUUGUUGGGUCUUCAUUGACUCAGUAACGAAGCUAACGCGUGAAGUUGACCGCCUGGGGAGUACGGCCGCAAGG